RNAcentral lists this ribosomal RNA (375 nucleotides) under uncultured bacterium. Its description in RNAcentral is "bacterial SSU rRNA". It matches the Rfam family "Bacterial small subunit ribosomal RNA", at positions 521 to 896 of the family's 1533-position model. The record is from RNAcentral.
UAAUACGUAGGCAGCGAGCGUUGUUCGGAGUUACUGGGCGUAAAGGGUGCGCAGGCGGUGGAGCAAGUCUGAUGUGAAAUCUCCCGGCUUAACCGGGAGGGUGCGUUAGAAACUGUUCUGCUGGAGUGAGGGAGAGGCAAGCGGAAUUCCUGGUGUAGCGGUGAAAUGCGUAGAUAUCAGGAGGAACACCCGUGGUGCAGACGGCUUGCUGGACCUCCACUGACGCUGAGGCACGAAAGCGUGGGGAGCAAACAGGAUUAGAUACCCUGGUAGUCCACGCCCUAAACGAUGCACACUUGGUGUGGGCAGUUCAGUCUGUCCGUGCCGAAGCUAACGCGAUAAGUGUGCCGCCUGGGGAGUACGGUCGCAAGGCUG